This 873-nucleotide ribosomal RNA is filed under the name Weissella confusa. RNAcentral describes it as "bacterial SSU rRNA". It matches the Rfam family "Bacterial small subunit ribosomal RNA", at positions 28 to 854 of the family's 1533-position model. The record is from RNAcentral. Lineage: Bacteria; Bacillati; Bacillota; Bacilli; Lactobacillales; Lactobacillaceae.
GAUGAUCGCUGGCGGCGUGCCUAAUACAUGCAAGUCGAACGCUUUGUGGUUCAACUGAUUUGAAGAGCUUGCUCAGAUAUGACGAUGGACAUUGCAAAGAGUGGCGAACGGGUGAGUAACACGUGGGAAACCUACCUCUUAGCAGGGGAUAACAUUUGGAAACAGAUGCUAAUACCGUAUAACAAUGACAACCGCAUGGUUGUUAUUUAAAAGAUGGUUCUGCUAUCACUAAGAGAUGGUCCCGCGGUGCAUUAGCUAGUUGGUAAGGUAAUGGCUUACCAAGGCGAUGAUGCAUAGCCGAGUUGAGAGACUGAUCGGCCACAAUGGGACUGAGACACGGCCCAUACUCCUACGGGAGGCAGCAGUAGGGAAUCUUCCACAAUGGGCGAAAGCCUGAUGGAGCAACGCCGCGUGUGUGAUGAAGGGUUUCGGCUCGUAAAACACUGUUGUAAGAGAAGAAUGACAUUGAGAGUAACUGUUCAAUGUGUGACGGUAUCUUACCAGAAAGGAACGGCUAAAUACGUGCCAGCAGCCGCGGUAAUACGUAUGUUCCAAGCGUUAUCCGGAUUUAUUGGGCGUAAAGCGAGCGCAGACGGUUAUUUAAGUCUGAAGUGAAAGCCCUCAGCUCAACUGAGGAAUUGCUUUGGAAACUGGAUGACUUGAGUGCAGUAGAGGAAAGUGGAACUCCAUGUGUAGCGGUGAAAUGCGUAGAUAUAUGGAAGAACACCAGUGGCGAAGGCGGCUUUCUGGACUGUAACUGACGUUGAGGCUCGAAAGUGUGGGUAGCAAACAGGAUUAGAUACCCUGGUAGUCCACACCGUAAACGAUGAGUGCUAGGUGUUUGAGGGUUUCCGCCCUUAAGUGCCGCAGCUA